CUCUUUCCCCUCAGCUCUUGCUCCAGUGGCAAGAUGUGAUCCACCAGCUAGGAGGGACGCCAAUAAGGCGUCCGAUAAGAGAAAAUCAAAAGCUGUUGAUUCCUUCCAGACUAAUAUGGUUUGAUCAAGCAAGACCCCCUAAAGCUGAGAUGAUACAGCCUUACAGACUACAAAAACAAGGACUUGGUCAGGUUUCUAUGUUUUAUCAUGAUCCUAAUGGUAUAUAAACAUCGCCCCCAAUCAGCAGGAAACAGUUUAGAAAGAACGACGCCCAUAUUCCCAAGUAUUGUUUAUAAAUGUUUGUUUUCAUUUAAAUGGGGUUGGUUAUAAAUGAUAAAAAAAGGAAAUAGGAUAUAGGAAUAAAUACUUUAAAUUGGUAAAGAUUUUCAUUUAUUGAUACAACUUUAAGGUCAGUUUUGUGAUAAUGUAUGUCUACUCUUGUUUAGGUAUUGUGUUUAUACAGAUCUUUUACCUAUAAUAGUCAGAACUUAUAAUUAGGUUAGUUAGGUUUUCUAGAUAUAGAGAUGUAUUUGAGAUGGUUAGGUAUUCUUCAAACCUUUCAAAGACCUACAGAAAUAUGGCAUUUAAAUGGUUUAGGGUUUUUCUUGGCAGUGAGACACAACUGCUCCUGGCACACCAAUUAUGUCAGAAAGGAGGAUGGGCAUCGAAGAAACUCGUUAUGGAGUUUGCUUUCAACAUGGCAAGACUAGCCAUUUGGGCAAGAAACUGCUCUUGCCUGGACUGUUUGUUGCUGUAUAAAUUGGACAUGCAGGACCCACAAGAAAAUGACUGCUAAACUUACAAAACUAAAGGGUUCCUGUUAAAAUGGAGGAGUGUGUUAGACAUACUGUGGCCUAUAGGCUGAAGAUGGAUGCCCCAACAUUUACAGAGGAACUUUGGGUGACUGCCCAGGUAGCAAGAUGUCCUGUCAAUUCAAGAGUUUAUAUAUUAUCCUUCUGUGGUCUUUGAUAGAGUUAAAGACAGAUAGUUAUGGUUAUAGUUUUCUUCAGUUAUUAUAAAAAAUAAGUUACCCUUCUUUUUAUUUAGACAGAAAAGAGGAGAUGAUGGGGGAAAUACUUCUGUGUAUGUUUAUAAAUAAAGUACUUGCUUGGCCAAUGAGACAGCAGGUUAGGCUGGACUAGGAGUCAAAGAGGAUUCUGGGAAAUGUAGUAGAGAAGUGGUGUUCCAGACAGGAAGUGACAUAGCAAGGAGACUCAUAUUUAAGAAGAGGAAAAAGGAAGUGUUGCUCUCUUUCCCCUCGGCUCCUGCUCCAGCGGCAAGAUGUGAUCCACCAGCUAGGAGGGACGCCAAUAAGGCGUCCGAUAAGAUAAGUCUUAUAAAAUAUAUAGAUGUAUGAUGAUUGAUACUGAGCUAACAGAUGAGAAUCCUAGUCAUUGGCCAAGCAGCAUUGUAACUAAUACAAGUCUCUCUGUGUAUUCAUUUGGGCCUAACUUGGACAGGCGGCUGCCAUAAAGCUUACACGUGGCGGUGGGGCUCAGCGGCUUUUGGCAGAAAGAUUUAUCGUAAC
This 1528-nucleotide long non-coding RNA is filed under the name Cricetulus griseus (Chinese hamster). RNAcentral describes it as "lncRNA (ENSCGRG00015035174.1)". Lineage: Eukaryota; Metazoa; Chordata; Mammalia; Rodentia; Cricetidae. The record is from RNAcentral.